UACGAAGGGGGCUAGCGUUGCUCGGAUUUACUGGGCGUAAAGGGCGCGUAGGCGGCGUGACAAGUCACUUGUGAAAUCUCCGGGCUUAACUCGGAACGGUCAAGUGAUACUGUCGUGCUAGAGUACAGAAGGGGCAACUGGAAUUCUCGGUGUAGCGGUGAAAUGCGUAGAUAUCGAGAGGAACACCUGCGGCGAAGGCGGGUUGCUGGGCUGAUACUGACGCUGAGGCGCGAAAGCUAGGGGAGCGAACGGG
This 253-nucleotide ribosomal RNA is filed under the name uncultured bacterium. RNAcentral's name for it is "partial 16S ribosomal RNA". It matches the Rfam family "Bacterial small subunit ribosomal RNA", at positions 524 to 776 of the family's 1533-position model. The record is from RNAcentral.